UACGAGGGGGGCAAGCGUUGUUCGGAAUUAUUGGGCGUAAAGGGCGCGUAGGCGGUGCGGUAAGUCUGAUGUGAAAUCUCCGGGCUCAACUCGGAGUCUGCAUCAGAAACUACAUGACUAGAGCAUUGGAGAGGGUAGCGGAAUUCACGGUGUAGCAGUGAAAUGCGUAGAUAUCGUGAGGAACACCAAAGGCGAAGGCGGCUCACUGGUCCAUUACUGACGCUGAGGUGCGAAAGCGUGGGGAGCAAACAGG
RNAcentral lists this ribosomal RNA (253 nucleotides) under uncultured bacterium. Its description in RNAcentral is "partial 16S ribosomal RNA". It matches the Rfam family "Bacterial small subunit ribosomal RNA", at positions 524 to 776 of the family's 1533-position model. The record is from RNAcentral.